This is a non-coding RNA of Pseudonaja textilis, 266 nucleotides long. Lineage: Eukaryota; Metazoa; Chordata; Lepidosauria; Squamata; Elapidae. The record is from RefSeq and is a predicted model, not a curated record.
AUCCCUUUCCAGGUCAGGGCCAUGCAGGGGCAACUCUAAGCUGUUCUGAGUCCCAGGCUUGAUUGAGCCUUGUUGGAUGAUGAUGUAAUGAAAGGGCUUUGGGCAAUUCCUAUUAGGGCUCUACCUGGAGGAGAUAGAUCUUUAGUUAUGUAGAAUAGACUGGUUCAGGCCUUAAUGGCCCAUUGACAAAGGUGUGGGGGGGUUGAGUUUCUGCCUCUCUGAGUUUCUAGUUCUCUUUUAGGGGAAAUAUCCUGCCUUUUUAGUAU